RNAcentral lists this ribosomal RNA (686 nucleotides) under uncultured bacterium. Its description in RNAcentral is "bacterial SSU rRNA". It matches the Rfam family "Bacterial small subunit ribosomal RNA", at positions 172 to 891 of the family's 1533-position model. The record is from RNAcentral.
UAUACGCCCUCAGGGGGAAAGAUUUAUCGGAGAAGGAUCAGCCCGCGUUAGAUUAGGUAGUUGGUGGGGUAACGGCCUACCAAGCCUACGAUCUAUAGCUGGUUUUAGAGGAUGAUCAGCCACACUGGGACUGAGACACGGCCCAGACUCCUACGGGAGGCAGCAGUAGGGAAUCUUGGACAAUGGGGGCAACCCUGAUCCAGCCAUGCCGCGUGAGUGAAGAAGGCCCUAGGGUCGUAAAGCUCUUUCGCCUGUGAUGAUAAUGACAGUAGCAGGUAAAGAAACCCCGGCUAACUCCGUGCCAGCGGCCGCGGUAAUACGGAGGGGGUUAGCGUUGUUCGGAAUUACUGGGCGUAAAGCGCGCGUAGGCGGAUUGGAAAGUUGGGGGUGAAAUCCCGGGGCUCAACCCCGGAACUGCCUUCAAAACUCCCAGUCUAGAGUUCGAGAGAGGUGAGUGGAAUUCCGAGUGUAGAGGUGAAAUUCGUAGAUAUUCGGAAGAACACCAGUGGCGAAGGCGGCUCACUGGCUCGAUACUGACGCUGAGGUGCGAAAGUGUGGGGAGCAAACAGGAUUAGAUACCCUGGUAGUCCACACCGUAAACGAUGAAUGCCAGUCGUCGGAUAGUAUACUAUUCGGUGACACACCUAACGGAUUAAGCAUUCCGCCUGGGGGAGUACCGGUCGCAA